Molecule: long non-coding RNA, 1287 nt
Organism: Rhincodon typus (whale shark)
Lineage: Eukaryota; Metazoa; Chordata; Chondrichthyes; Orectolobiformes; Rhincodontidae
Exons: 4
Source: RefSeq, a predicted model, not a curated record
UGAAAAUUAAAAUGGCUUUGAAAGCAUUUGCGCCAGCAUCGAGCCGUUCUGUAGUGCCUCUGCAACCAGAUACCUCACUUCAUUAGCUAUAAGCAGACAGAGCUGUAGCUCGAAAUGAUAGAGGAACGCCGUACAAAGAAUAAACGUGUACAUUAAGAACUGCCGGCAACGUUAUUGGUGAUGCACUUCGUGCAGAUCGAGGCUGACAGGCCACACUACAUGAAACUGCAAGCUCAGAACUUUGUGAACGUUACGCAUAAACAACUAAUCAUGAGAUCCAGACACAGCCAGCAUCUCCACUACCUCUCCAGAGAAAUGCCCAGCUCCCCCAGAAGCUCGAGAUCUCUUUGGAUGAGAGUACAGAGGCCUUAGAGGGUGCAUCGGCAAGGCUGCCACCUGACCAGAUAUUGACACCUCAAUGGGAAUAUUGUGCAUUGAGUGUGUGACACCACAGUCUGGUGAGCACCUCACAGUGACAGCCGUGCAGCUGGCUAAGGAAGAAGCUCUCCAGGCUGCUGGCGCUUGGACGGCAGCAAGAGACCAGGCACCUGCUCAGCCCCAGGCAGGAAAGGACCCUGUGAGGUCAGCAAUCAGAGACUUCAUCUACGUACACAGUGGGGAUCAGGAGCAGCAGACAGGAAUGUGUGAGAUAGUGGUCCUCAUUGCCCAGAAGCUGUAGCAAUGUAGUGAAUUACGUGACUGUCUGUCUGGGUCUAUGGACAGGUUAGCAGUGCCUGGAGAGCUAGACUCAGCACCCUCAGGGUCUGCUGGAGAGAAAGUCACAUAUCUGCACUCUGUUGCCCCAGCCACUGGUCCUUGGGGCUGAACAAAUGAUGACUGAGGUGUGGGAAACCUAAUGCAUGCUCCAGAUCACCUCCUCACAUCGAGACAGGAUGGUGCUUGGAGGCAGGCAGCUGGAGCAGUGAUUACACACAGGCCAUUCAGAAGACUCCUCUCAGGAUACUCCAGAGGUGGCCUUCACCUCUCCCUUGCCUGCUGCCCUCUGACCUUUGAAACUUCACGACAAGGGGGUCAACUUAUCCACUCAGAAUGUCUGACCCAUCAAGGCACAAGUGCCCCUGGGUUGGCUGGCCAAAGCUGCAGGAUCAAUGGGCUCUACUGCUGAGCAGGCACCCUCCAACACAGCUGCAGAACCAGGGAGUUCACCAAGAUGUAAUGGAAGGUAGAGGAGAUAGAAGACAAAUUGAAGGCACUUUGGUAAGAUGGGUGACCAUGGAUUGUAAUUAAUUUUGUACUUUCAUAUAAAGGCCAUCGUUUUAAGCAUUA